This 2210-nucleotide ribosomal RNA is filed under the name human gut metagenome. Its description in RNAcentral is "bacterial LSU rRNA". It matches the Rfam family "Bacterial large subunit ribosomal RNA", at positions 603 to 2852 of the family's 2925-position model. The record is from RNAcentral.
ACUUUUUGUAGAACGGUCCGGCGAGUUACGUGUAUGAUGCGAGGUUAAAUACUGUGUAAGGUAUGAAGCCGAAGGGAAACCGAGUGUGAAUAGCGCGAAGAUAUAGUAUCAUGCAGUAGACCCGAAACCGAGUGACCUAUCCAUGAGCAGGUUGAAGCUUGAGUAAAAUCAAGUGGAGGACCGAACCGGUAUUCGUUGAAAAGGAUUCGGAUGACUUGUGGAUAGCGGAGAAAUUCCAAUCGAACUCGGAGAUAGCUGGUUCUCCUCGAAAUAGCUUUAGGGCUAGCCUUGUUUAGUAGCAUGUGGAGGUAAAGCACUGAAUAUGUGAGGGUUCUUACCAGAAUACCGAUCAUUAUCAAACUCUGAAUGCCAUGUGUGUAAGAACAGGAGUCAGACAGUGACAGCUAAGUGCCAUUGUCAAAAGGGAAAGAGCCCAGACCAACAGCUAAGGUCCCAAAAUUGUAGUUAAGUGGAAAAGGAUGUGGGAAUUCAUAGACAACCAGGAUGUUGGCUCAGAAGCAGCCAUUCAUUUAAAGAGUGCGUAAAAGCUCACUGGUCGAAGUAGGCCUGCGCCGAAAAUUACCGGGGCUAAACUACAUACCGAAGCUUUGGAUUUGGUACGUAAAGUAUUAAGUGGUAGAGGAGCGUUGUAUAAAGAUUGAAGCUAUACUGAAAAGAGUAGUGGACGAUAUACAAGAGAGAAUGCCGGAAUAAGUAGCGAGAGCACAGUGAGAAUCUGUGCCGCCGAAAACCUAAGGUUUCCUGGGGAAGGUUCGUCCGCCCAGGGUAAGUCGGGACCUAAGACGAGGCUAAAGCAGCGUAGUCGAUGGAAAGCAGGUAAAAGAUUCCUGCACUACCGAAAUGCGAUAUACAAUAUAUCAUGACGCAUCAGAAGAGUCUAAGCGAGCAAAUGGAAAAGUUCGUACCGCAAGGUGGAGUGAAAAAUAGUAACGAAGUAGAUAAAUCAGGUGACAAGAAAAGUGAUAUAGGAGCAUAGAGGUACUCGUACCGUAAACCGACACAGGUAGGAAGAAAGAGAAUUUUCAGGCGAACGAGAGAAUCAUUGUUAAGGAACUCGGCAAAUUAACCCCGUAACUUAGGGAUAAGGGGAGCCAAUAGCGAUAUUGGUCGCAGAGAAAUGGCCCAAGCAACUGUUUAGCAAAAACACAGGUUUCUGCCAAAUCGAAAGAUGAAGUAUAGGAGCUGACGCCUGCCCAGUGCUGGAAGGUCAAGGGGAAGAGUAAACGUUUCGAUGUGAAGCUCUGAACUUAAGCCCCAGUGAACGGCGGCCGUAACUAUAACGGUCCUAAGGUAGCGAAAUUCCUUGUCAGGUAAGUUCUGACCCGCACGAAAGGCGUAAUGAUUUGGGCACUGUCUCGACAACGAACUCGGCGAAAUUGUAGUACUAGUGAAGAUGCUAGUUACCUGUGAUAAGACAGAAAGACCCCAUGGAGCUUUACUGUAGCUUGAUAUUGAGACUAGGUAAGAGAUGUACAGAAUAGAUGGGAGACUAUGAGAUAAGGACGCCAGUUCUUAAGGAGUCACCUUUGGGAUACCAUCCUUCUUUUACUUGGAAUCUAACUAGUUGCCAUGAACUGGUAAUAGGACAGUGUCAGGUGGGCAGUUUGACUGGGGCGGUCGCCUCCUAAAGAGUAACGGAGGCGUUCAAAGGUCAGCUUAACACGGUCAGAAAUCGUGUGAUGACGUGCAAAGGCGUAAGCUGGCUUGACUGCAAGACUGACAGGUCGAGCAGACGCGAAAGCGGGACUUAGUGACCCGAUGGUUGUGAGUGGAAAUGCCAGAGCUCAACGGAUAAAAGUUACCCUGGGGAUAACAGGCUUAUCUCCCCCGAGAGUCCAUAUCGACGGGGAGGUUUGGCACCUCGAUGUCGGCUCAUCGCAUCCUGGAGCGGUAGUACGUUCCAAGGGGUGGGCUGUUCGCCCAUUAAAGCGGUACGCGAGCUGGGUUCAGAACGUCGUGAGACAGUUCGGUCCUUAUCUAUCACAGGCGUAAGAUAUUUGAGAGGAGUUGCCCCUAGUACGAGAGGACCGGGGUGAAGGAACCGAUGGUGCACCAGUUGUAUCACCAGAUGCAUAGCUGGGUAGCCAAGUUCCGAUGGGAUAAACGCUGAAAGCAUAUAAGUGUGAAGCCCACCUCAAGAUUAGAUAUCUCAUGGCGAAAGUCAGUAAGACCCCAAGAAGACUACUUGG